CAGGGUGGGAGCUCCCGCCCUGCUCCUCCCCUUUCCCUUCCUCCCCCUUCCUUCCAAACCUCCCUCCUCGAGGUGCCCCCUUCCCCCGGCUUCCCCUUUCAUUCCCUCUCUCCCCGACUCCCUCGUCCCACCCGACGCCGGGUCCCCCUCCAGUCCCUGCCUCCACCUCUCCCGCCCCUCGCUCUCCUCCUCUCCCGCCCCCUCUCUUCUCGACCCCCCUCGCCUCCCUCUGCCCCCUCCCCCUACCUCCCCGGCUCCGCCCCCUGCCCCCCUCCUCCGUGGCCCUCCGCGCGCCUCAACGCCCCGCGGCGGAGCGCGUCUCGGGCGCGGCAGACCAGCCAUGGCUCUCGGCGAGCUGCUCGUGCUGCUGCUCCUGGCCGGGGACUUCGCAGCGGUCUCUUUGGUCUCGGCGUCCUGGCAUCAUAAGCAGGGAAACUACAGAUCAGAAAGAAGGUCAUGAUAUUAAAAUUGUCCGAGAUGAACCAUGCUAAUGGGACAGUUCACAGAAAAGAUGGACAAGACACCUUAAAAUGAGCAUAUUAGAUGAAUUCCAGCUUUCCCAUUUUCCCUUUUCCUAUGUUUCUUUGCAUGAGAUUUGUUAAACAUUUCCUGACAGGAGGUGUGGAAGAGAGCCUUGUAUAUUAACUAUGUCAAAAUAAAAACUUGCUUCUUGGCUUUUGCCCCUUGCCUUAAGCUAAUUUCCCGGAUUACUUAUUCAUUGCUUUAUUUAGUUAGAAUGAUACCAGCACUGUAUUCAGUCACUAUUGUUUUGUGUUGAGAAUAUAAUUUUCACUCAGC
RNAcentral lists this long non-coding RNA (798 nucleotides) under Dasypus novemcinctus (nine-banded armadillo). Its description in RNAcentral is "lncRNA (ENSDNOG00000052534.1)". Lineage: Eukaryota; Metazoa; Chordata; Mammalia; Cingulata; Dasypodidae. The record is from RNAcentral.